RNAcentral lists this long non-coding RNA (321 nucleotides) under Elaeis guineensis (African oil palm). Its description in RNAcentral is "long non-coding RNA (EGUI_LNC016624)". Lineage: Eukaryota; Viridiplantae; Streptophyta; Magnoliopsida; Arecales; Arecaceae. The record is from RNAcentral.
CCCCCCCCCCCCCCCCCCCCAAAAAAAAAAAAAAAGGUAUUGUCCAACCCAUGGACUUAAAACGUGCCACCAGAGCCACGUUGACACCAUUUAAUUGGAUAGAGACCAAAUUACUUUCGGGGGUUUAGCUUUUACAUCUGUUUUUCUGAUAAAGACCUUUUAAUGACCAACUACCUUUUUAUAAUAUUUUAUAAUAUUUCAAUAUGAUUAAAAUAAAAUAUGAAUCGAAUCUUGACCUAAAUGUUAUUCAUUUUUAAUCAAAUUUUGGAUUCAUCCAAUAUCAAAUUUAAUAUCUUUUAGAUCCAAAUUCGAUCUAUGGCC